This 253-nucleotide ribosomal RNA is filed under the name uncultured bacterium. RNAcentral's name for it is "partial 16S ribosomal RNA". It matches the Rfam family "Bacterial small subunit ribosomal RNA", at positions 524 to 776 of the family's 1533-position model. The record is from RNAcentral.
UACGUAGGGACCAAGCGUUGUCCGGAAUCAUUGGGCGUAAAGAGCGUGUAGGCGGCCAUACAGGUCAGCUGUGAAAACUCGAGGCUCAACCUCGAGACGUCGGUUGAAACCGUAUGGCUAGAGUCCGGAAGAGGAGAGUGGAAUUCCCGGUGUAGCGGUGAAAUGCGCAGAUAUCGGGAAGAACACCCGUGGCGAAGGCGGCUCUCUGGGACGGUACUGACGCUGAGACGCGAAAGCGUGGGGAGCGAACAGG